Molecule: ribosomal RNA, 794 nt
Filed under: uncultured Ascomycota
Lineage: Eukaryota; Fungi; Ascomycota
Description: LSU rRNA
Rfam family: Eukaryotic large subunit ribosomal RNA
Source: RNAcentral
GUGAAAUUGUUGAAAGGGAAGCGCUCAACACCAGUGAUGAGGUUGGAAAUUCAGCAGUCAGAAAUGUCUGUGCAUUUUUCCAGCCUCGAGUCAACAUCAGUUUGGACUGUGGGAUAAGGACCUUGGGAGGAGCCCAGCUCAAUCUUGGUUUAUAUCACGACCCAGACUGAGGCUUGCCUUUAAUGAAGGAUGUUGACGAAAUGGUAUUGAACGUCCCGUCUUGAAACACGGACCAAGGAGUCUAACACGUACGCAAGUAUUUGGGUGGUAAACCCUCAUGCGUAAUGAAAGUGAAUUGUGAGAUAUUUUUUGCAUCACAAACCGGUCUGGAUUUUCUUGAUAGAUCUGAGUAAGAGCGUAUGUGUUGGGACCCGAAAGAUGGUGAACUAUGCCUGAAUAGGUUCAAGUAAGGCGAAAGUCUUAUGGAGGACCGUAGCGAUUCUGACGUGCAAAUCGAUCGUCAAAUUUGGGUAUAGGGGCGAAAGACUAAUCGAACCAUCUAGUAGCUGGUUCCGGCUGAAGUUUCCCUCAGGAUAGCAGAAACGCGUGCAACAGUUUUAUGAGGUAAAGCGAAUGAUUAGAGGCCUUGGGAUUGAAACAAUCUUAACCUAUUCUCAAACUUUAAAUAUGUAAGAAGUCCUAGUUACUUGAUUGAACUAGUGACAUUUGAAUGUUGCGUUUCUAGUGGGCCGUUUUUGGUAAGCAGAACUGGCGACGCGGGAUGAACCGAUCGUCGAGUUAAAGUGCCAGAAUGCACGCUCAUCAGACACCAUAAAAGGUGUUGGUUCAUCUAG